This 490-nucleotide ribosomal RNA is filed under the name uncultured bacterium. RNAcentral's name for it is "bacterial SSU rRNA". It matches the Rfam family "Bacterial small subunit ribosomal RNA", at positions 229 to 731 of the family's 1533-position model. The record is from RNAcentral.
GCCUGCGGCCUAUCAGCUUGUUGGUGAGGUAAUGGCUCACCAAGGCGACGACGGGUAGCCGGCCUGAGAGGGCGACCGGCCACACUGGGACUGAGACACGGCCCAGACUCCUACGGGAGGCAGCAGUGGGGAAUAUUGCACAAUGGGCGAAAGCCUGAUGCAGCGACGCCGCGUGAGGGAUGACGGCCUUCGGGUUGUAAACCUCUUUCAGCAGGGAAGAAGCGAAAGUGACGGUACCUGCAGAAGAAGCACCGGCUAACUACGUGCCAGCAGCCGCGGUAAUACGUAGGGUGCGAGCGUUGUCCGGAAUUAUUGGGCGUAAAGAGCUUGUAGGCGGUUUGUCGCGUCUGCAGUGAAAAUCCGGGGCUCAACCCCGGACUUGCUGUGGGUACGGGCAGACUAGAGUGUGGUAGGGGAGACCGGAAUUCCUGGUGUAGCGGUGGAAUGCGCAGAUAUCAGGAGGAACACCGAUGGCGAAGGCAGGUCUCUG